Molecule: long non-coding RNA, 1061 nt
Organism: Crotalus tigris (Tiger rattlesnake)
Lineage: Eukaryota; Metazoa; Chordata; Lepidosauria; Squamata; Viperidae
Exons: 3
Source: RefSeq, a predicted model, not a curated record
UUUUAAGAAGAGACUGGACAGCCACUUGUCUGAAAUGGUAUAGGUUUUCCUGCUUGAGAUGGGGGUUGGACUAGAUGACCUCCAAGGUCCCUUCCAACUCUGUUAUUCUAUUUAUUCGAAUACAGCAAUUGCUUUGAGAUGUUCAUCCUCCAUUCAUCGGCAGCUUUUGAAUUCUCUUUGAGCUACAGGCACGGAGUCAGUGGCUUCAAAGGUUAUCAGAAAACUGAGCUACAUCUUUCCUUUUUUUUCUACAUCUGGGUUAAUGAACAAAGACCUCCUUGCCCCAAGAAGCUUGCACUUGUUCCCCACAUCUGGGAGAGGCAGCCUUAAGAGAGAAACGUUGCAAACAGUGGGCUGUCUGGCUCCUUUUAAUUGGCCAAUUCACUACAGUUUGGGGGCAAAUACGCUGGGCGAACCCUCAACCAACUAAGCGAACGUUGGAAAAGUGCCCAAGUGAACAACAUCCGUCUGCAGUUGUACCCAAGCUUUUUUUUUUUUUUUUUGGUUUUGUUUUCUUCCAGGAAGCGGAGCAAAAUGCACACAAGCACAGCCUCCAGUUACAAGCUAGCGAGAACUCUGGCACGCUAAGAAGGUUUCAACCCCCCCAAAAAAUGUUUGCACACCUUCCCAUAUGGAAGCUAAAAGUCCCUGCACUUGUUAUGUCUAGCUUGCUGUCAAGAGAGAUGCAAAAAUUCAGCUCUCUUGUUUCUAAAUAAAACCCUUCAAAGGCGUAUGCGUUUGUGUUUCUUUUCUUUUCAUUUUUUUUUUUUUUUUUGCUGCCUCCAAAGGACUGCAAAGGCUCCUGUUAUUAUGUUUAUUUACCCAACCGGCGGCCAAAUGACGAAGCCAAACCAGAAAGGUCAGUUUGAAGCAAGAACGAAACAUUUGCUGGACGGAAUCCGACCAAAGAAAGAAUAACUCCAAUCUCUCCUUAAAAAUUGAGUUUCUCUCACGAGUUUCAAAAAUAACCGGCUAGCCCCUUGGAAAGGGAGCGGAAAAAGGAAAGAAGAAAAGCAAGAAAGGGCCGUUGUAACUUUGAAGAGUCACCAAAUGGCUACCUG